This 253-nucleotide ribosomal RNA is filed under the name uncultured bacterium. RNAcentral describes it as "partial 16S ribosomal RNA". It matches the Rfam family "Bacterial small subunit ribosomal RNA", at positions 524 to 776 of the family's 1533-position model. The record is from RNAcentral.
UACGGAGGGUGCAAGCGUUAUCCGGAUUCACUGGGUUUAAAGGGUGCGUAGGCGGGCAGGUAAGUCAGUGGUGAAAUCUCCAAGCUUAACUUGGAAACUGCCGUUGAUACUAUCUGUCUUGAAUACCGUGGAGGUGAGCGGAAUAUGUCAUGUAGCGGUGAAAUGCUUAGAUAUGACAUAGAACACCAAUUGCGAAGGCAGCUCACUACGGAUAUAUUGACACUGAGGCACGAAAGCGUGGGGAUCAAACAGG